Ostrinia nubilalis (European corn borer) is the source of this 485-nucleotide long non-coding RNA. RefSeq lists it as uncharacterized. The record is from RefSeq and is a predicted model, not a curated record. The transcript is spliced from 4 exons. Lineage: Eukaryota; Metazoa; Arthropoda; Insecta; Lepidoptera; Crambidae.
AGUAGUAGUAUGUAAUCAGAUCAAUGCAGAAAGCCGUACUAUAAAUUAUUUGGUGGAGUAACUUCGAUGCCGACGGAGAUGUAUUUAAAAGUCAACGGAUAUUCCAACGAGUACUGGAACUGGGGUGCAGAAGACGACGAUAUGUUUAUACGAAUACAUGCGUCCAGGCUUGCCAUAUGGAGGUAUAACAUGAGCAUCGCUCGCUUCACCUGCCUGCCCCACCCGCGUGGUAUCCUUAAUGAUGACAGGCGAAUAAAGUUAGCAACGGCAAAGAAACGUUUUAAGUACGAAGGCCUGAAUAGCUUGGAGUACAGGUUAAUAGCAAUUAUCCAGAGAAAAUUAUUCACGCACAUCCUGGCCGAUGUAAACCCUUUCAAUUAUACUGUUUGAGUAAUAAGCCGAUGGGAAUAACAACGUUUUAUUUUAAUGACACAGGUAAGGAAUAGAUAAAAAUAAAAUAAAUACUUAGUACUUGACUUGCCAAA